CUGGGGUGGGAGUGGGGGGAUACCCCCAUCACUGAAUCUGGAACCUUAAAGAACAGAAAACUGGAAUUCAGGUGUUCAGAGGCCUUGUGAUGCUAAUACUCCUAAAGGCCUGGCCAGGAUGCUGGCCAGUCUGUGUCCGUAUUCUGUGUUCUGCUUUGUGGCCAUAUCCCAGUAAUGAAGGGUCCGUGUCUGGAUCAACAUCUGGGUCCCACAUGAUGACCAAAUGCCAGGCUCUGCCCGGGGCCGCGCACUACAUCAGGACCCAGUCGUCUGUGUGUUGGGGCUCCCCACCUCCCCGGGCCCCGUCCCCCAUCCUGAUGCCCAG
Molecule: long non-coding RNA, 325 nt
Organism: Pipistrellus kuhlii (Kuhl's pipistrelle)
Lineage: Eukaryota; Metazoa; Chordata; Mammalia; Chiroptera; Vespertilionidae
Exons: 4
Source: RefSeq, a predicted model, not a curated record